RNAcentral lists this ribosomal RNA (978 nucleotides) under Triticum aestivum (bread wheat). RNAcentral describes it as "partial small subunit ribosomal RNA". Lineage: Eukaryota; Viridiplantae; Streptophyta; Magnoliopsida; Poales; Poaceae. The record is from RNAcentral.
AUGGCGCGGCGAGGUGGGGCAGUGGCGGUUGUGCGGCGAGGCGGGGCAGGUGCUGCGGAGACGGCGCGCGGCGAGGCGGGGCAGUGGCGUCGCGGAGGAGGAUGGAGGACGCCGGAGCAGAGGACGACAGCCCCUCCAUCGCUGCUGUCCGCGCACGCCCGCGUGCUCGCCUCCGUCCGCGCCCGCGCCGGAGCGCUGUUGUCUGCGCGCGCCCGCGUGCUCACCUCCGUCCGCGCCCUUCAGCUCGCCUCUGCCCGCCGCGCCCUUCAGCUCGCCUCCGCCCGCGUCCUGCCGCGUCCCAACCGCGCCGGGAGACCGCCUCUGCCUGCCGCGCUUGCCUUUGCUCACGCCCUGCAGCUCGCCUCCGCCCUCGUCCUGCCGCGCACCACCAGCGAGCAGUGCACCGUCGCUUGGGGUAUGAUACAGAUCUUCUUACCUUGCUUCUCCUGUUUCCUGCCGUAUAAUGUUGCAAUUCACUUGCUACCAUUUGAUCUUGCAAUUGCCGUAGUUAUCAUUCUUAAUCCCGAGUUCGCCUUUAAGUACGCCGGAGGAACCAGCGCUGUGUUCGCCGGAAUUCUUGGUCCAGCGAAGCAUUGUGAGUCCAACGGUGGCUACAACAGAGGGCGCUCUCCCUGCAACGGAACUACUUGGGCGUCUCCGACGGCAGCAUGCUUGAUACUGAGGCUGAAGACUAGCACGGUUGAUGAGCUAAAGUGGCGGGUGGAGCUGGACCGCCAGUCCAUGGCGCUCGUGUGGAAGGAGCUGGAGGAGGAGCGGAUCACGUCGGCAGUGGCGGCCGCCCAGGCCAUGGCCAUGAUCACCAAUCUGCAGCAGGAGAAGGUGACGAUGUGGACGGAGGCGGCGCAGUAUCGAUUGGUCAUGGAGGAGCAGAGUGCGUAUGAUUGUGAUGAGGCUGACCGUCUGGCUGCUGAGAAGUGCUUUGUUUUGGGCAAGCCAAAAUACUUGAAAAAAAGAUAA